AAAUUCGGGCCUGCUACACAUACAAGUAUCCAAGCAUCCAAGUUGGCCCAGCCCAAAUCGAAGACACGCGCAUAAGGAAGCAUAACAUGGCGCGUCAAAAUCACGCGCUCAACACAAACGGUUACGUAUGGCAGACUCUUCCACUUCCUCCACUUCUUCCACUUCUCAAAACGCUUCGAAACCAAGGAAACGCUCCCAUUUUCGAGCAAAAAUCAAAGUUCAAAAUAUACAAAUCGUUGUUCGAAACCUCCAUCAAAACAACAUCAAACUCUCCGUGAAGAAUCUGAAGAGAAAACGAAGCAAAUACACUCAACACAAAAUGGCAGCAAGAAACCAAACGAAAGACCUUAAGUGUGCCACACAUCUCCUGAGUGAUAAGUUCACAAAAUGUCUUCUUUACUUUAAUAGAUAGGUCUAUUUCGUUAGUUGUGAUGGGUGUAUAUUGUCCAUUCAGUUGGAUGUAUCUUGUCCAUUCAUUCGGGUGUAUUACUGAUUUGUUUUCGUAUUUAAGGGAUACGUAUUUUCAAGAUUGAUAACAUAUGCCGGUGGGAAACCUCUUCAGAAAGGGGAGAGGGAGAAGGAAAUUAAAUCACCAUAUGUUAAAAUAUCAGGCCAAAAAACAAGCUAUGACUGCGCUGUGUACGUUAUGAAGUGGAUGGAGAUAAUUGAGCCGGAAAACAUCAAAAAGGGGAAGUAUCAAUGGGAUAAUUGGCCACAAGAGGAGGUGGACCACUAUAGAGUGGAGUACGCAUCCCGGAUACUAUUCAGUGAGAUGAAUACACAGAGAGAUCAGGCAAUUAGAGAGAGUAGUGCUAUAAGGCUGUCGAAGCCAUCCUCUAUAUUAUUAAGUCCGUUUUGUCAGAUUAAUUCUGCUGAUAUAAAAACUGGGUAGUUUGUAAAUUGAACAAAUGAUGUAAAUAUUUGCCAUUUAUCAACAACUUCUAUUCCAUGUAUAUUUUUUCCCA
Molecule: non-coding RNA, 965 nt
Organism: Arachis ipaensis
Lineage: Eukaryota; Viridiplantae; Streptophyta; Magnoliopsida; Fabales; Fabaceae
Source: RefSeq, a predicted model, not a curated record